GACGAACGCUGGCGGCGUGCCUAAUACAUGCAAGUCGAGCGGACUAUCAUUGGUGCUUGCACCUUUGAAAGUUAGCGGCGGACGGGUGAGUAACACGUGGGUAACCUACCCUGUAGAUUGGGAUAACUCCGGGAAACCGGGGCUAAUACCGAAUAACACUUUUGAACUCAUGUUCGAAAGUUAAAAGAUGGUUUCGGCUAUAACUACAGGAUGGGCCCGCGGCGCAUUAGCUAGUUGGUGAGGUAACGGCUCACCAAGGCAACGAUGCGUAGCCGACCUGAGAGGGUGAGCGGCCACACUGGGACUGAGGCACGGCCCAGACUCCUACGGGAGGCAGCAGUAGGGAAUCUUCCACAAUGGACGAAAGUCUGAUGGAGCAACGCCGCGUGAGUGAAGAAGGAUUUCGGUUCGUAAAACUCUGUUGCGAGGGAAGAACAAGUAGCGUAGUAACUGGCGCUACCUUGACGGUACCUUGUUAGAAAGCCACGGCUAACUACGUGCCAGCAGCCGCAGUAA
RNAcentral lists this ribosomal RNA (516 nucleotides) under uncultured bacterium. Its description in RNAcentral is "partial 16S ribosomal RNA". It matches the Rfam family "Bacterial small subunit ribosomal RNA", at positions 28 to 523 of the family's 1533-position model. The record is from RNAcentral.